Molecule: long non-coding RNA, 536 nt
Organism: Xenopus laevis (African clawed frog)
Lineage: Eukaryota; Metazoa; Chordata; Amphibia; Anura; Pipidae
Exons: 2
Source: RefSeq, a predicted model, not a curated record
CUCCCACACUCCCAGCUGUUUUUCUACCCCUCUGCCCUGACUCCUCCCACUCUCCCAGCUGUGUUUCUACCCCUCUGCCCUGACUCAUCCCACUCUCCCGACUGUGCUUCUACUCCUCUGCCCUGACUCCUCCCACUCUCCCAGCUGUGUUUCUACCCCUCUGCCCUGACUCCUCCCACUCUCCUGGCUAUGCUUCUCCUCUGCCCUGACUCCUCCCACUCCCCAGCUGUGUUUCUACCCCUCUGCCCUGACUCCUCCCACUCAGCUGUGUUAUUGCCCCCAUUGCCUGUAUGGAGCGCUGCUGUACCUGGUCAUUGAGCCAGUUCUGGCCAUAGAGAGUGCCCAGGUCGUCCAUACUUAACACAUGGCGCUUGUAGGUUACACGGAAUCCCCGUAACAUUGCGUUUCCAGGAUGCCGCUGGUACGACUGGAUCACAUGUUGCACCACAGUCCUCCUACAGACCAACACUGCGUUAGAGCCCCAUGUUAUACAGUGUAAUGCCCUCCCCCCGGAGCAGAGUGGAGGGGUCGGAAGA